CAAUAGCGUGUAUUAAAGUUGUUGCGGUUAAAAAGCUCGUAGUUGGAUUUCUGCUGAGAACGACCGGUCCGCCCUUUGGGUGUGUAUCUGGCUCUUUCUUGGCAUCUUCUUGGUGAACGUUGCUGCACUUGACUGUGUGGAGCGCUACCCAGGACUUUUACUUUGAGGAAAUUAGAGUGUUUCAAGCAGGCAUACGCCUUGAAUACAUUAGCAUGGAAUAAUAAGAUAGGACCUCGGUUCUAUUUUGUUGGUUUCUAGAGCUGAGGUAAUGAUUAAUAGGGAUAGUUGGGGGCAUUCGUAUUUAACUGUCAGAGGUGAAAUUCUUGGAUUUGUUAAAGACGGACUACUGCGAAANCANNNGCCAAGGAUGUUUUCAUNGG
Molecule: ribosomal RNA, 380 nt
Filed under: uncultured eukaryote
Lineage: Eukaryota
Description: partial 18S ribosomal RNA
Rfam family: Eukaryotic small subunit ribosomal RNA
Source: RNAcentral